UACGGAGGGUGCAAGCGUUAUCCGGAUUCACUGGGUUUAAAGGGUGCGUAGGUGGGCUUGUAAGUCAGUGGUGAAAUCUCCGGGCUUAACUCGGAAACUGCCAUUGAUACUAUAAGUCUUGAAUACCAUGGAGGUGAGCGGAAUAUGUCAUGUAGCGGUGAAAUGCUUAGAUAUGACAUAGAACACCAAUUGCGAAGGCAGCUCGCUACGCGGUUAUUGACACUGAGGCACGAAAGCAUGGGGAUCAAACAGG
Molecule: ribosomal RNA, 253 nt
Filed under: uncultured bacterium
Lineage: Bacteria
Description: partial 16S ribosomal RNA
Rfam family: Bacterial small subunit ribosomal RNA
Source: RNAcentral